This 24-nucleotide non-coding RNA is filed under the name Arabidopsis thaliana (thale cress). Lineage: Eukaryota; Viridiplantae; Streptophyta; Magnoliopsida; Brassicales; Brassicaceae. The record is from RNAcentral.
UGUUACCGUUGUGGAGCGAAAGAU